RNAcentral lists this ribosomal RNA (497 nucleotides) under uncultured bacterium. Its description in RNAcentral is "bacterial SSU rRNA". It matches the Rfam family "Bacterial small subunit ribosomal RNA", at positions 28 to 526 of the family's 1533-position model. The record is from RNAcentral.
GAUGAACGCUGGCGGCGUGCCUAACACAUGCAAGUCGAGCGAGAUUUCUAUAAUUGAUCCUUCGGGUGAUUUAUAGAAUGACAGCGGCGGACGGGUGAGUAACGCGUAGGCAACCUGCCCCAUACAUUGGGAUAGCCCCGGGAAACUGGGUGUAAUACCGAAUAACACUUUGAAGUGGCAUCGCUUUAAAGUCAAAACUCCGGUGGUAUGGGAUGGGCCUGCGUCUGAUUAGCUAGUUGGUAAGGUAAUGGCUUACCAAGGCAACGAUCAGUAGCCGACCUGAGAGGGUGAUCGGCCACACUGGAACUGAGACACGGUCCAGACUCCUACGGGAGGCAGCAAUGGGGAAUAUUGCACAAUGGGCGAAAGCCUGAUGCAGCAACGCCGCGUGAGUGAUGAAGGCUUUCGGGUCGUAAAACUCUGUCCUAAAGGAAGAAUAAUGACGGUACUUUAGGAGGAAGCCCCGGCUAACUACGUGCCAGCCGCCGCCGUAACAC